GUGCCAGCAGCCGCGGUAAUACGGAGGGGGUUGGCGUUGUUCGGAAUUACUGGGCGUAAAGCGCACGUAGGCGGAUCAGAAAGUUGGGGGUGAAAUCCCGGGGCUCAACCCCGGAACUGCCUCCAAAACUACUGGUCUAGAGUUCGAGAGAGGUGAGUGGAAUUCCGAGUGUAGAGGUGAAAUUCGUAGAUAUUCGGAAGAACACCAGUGGCGAAGGCGGCUCACUGGCUCGAUACUGACGCUGAGGUGCGAAAGUGUGGGUAGCAAACAGGAUUAGAUACCCGAGUCC
RNAcentral lists this ribosomal RNA (289 nucleotides) under uncultured bacterium. RNAcentral's name for it is "partial 16S ribosomal RNA". It matches the Rfam family "Bacterial small subunit ribosomal RNA", at positions 505 to 796 of the family's 1533-position model. The record is from RNAcentral.